This 56-nucleotide transfer RNA is filed under the name Pratylenchus vulnus (walnut meadow nematode). RNAcentral describes it as "tRNA-Ala". The record is from RNAcentral. Lineage: Eukaryota; Metazoa; Nematoda; Chromadorea; Rhabditida; Pratylenchidae.
GUUAUUAUAAUAUAUUAAAAGUAUUUCUUUUUUGCAAAGAGAAGGAUUUAGUGGUA